GCAAACUUGGUCAUUUAGAGGAAGUAAAAGUCGUAACAAGGUUUCCGUAGGUGAACCUGCGGAAGGAUCAUCAUUGAAUAACAACUUUUUGCAAGGUUUGAAGGGGGGAGAGGGGGGGAGUUUUCUCUCUUUUGUUCUCUUCUGGCUUGCAAAAAGCAAACAACUUUGAUACCCAAAAAGAGUCGCAUUCUCUUUCCUGGUUGUCUCUUCAGUCUUUUGCAGCUUUUGCAGCUUUUCCAGCUUAUUUGUUUGGGUUGGUUGUUGUUGUGGGAGGCCGAGAGAGAAGAGGGGAAGAGAGGGGGAAACCCCAGACAAAAACAAGUAGUUGCCUGAUAAAAAAGAGUUUGGUUGACAAUGGAAAAUGAAACAACUUUCAACAACGGAUCUCUUGGCUCUCACAUCGAUGAAGAACGCAGC
This 417-nucleotide unclassified non-coding RNA is filed under the name uncultured fungus. RNAcentral's name for it is "partial contains small subunit ribosomal RNA, internal transcribed spacer 1, and 5.8S ribosomal RNA". The stretch from base 1 to 73 matches the Rfam family "Eukaryotic small subunit ribosomal RNA", at positions 1759 to 1831 of the family's 1831-position model. Lineage: Eukaryota; Fungi. The record is from RNAcentral.